GCGCGUUGUGAGAACUUGAGCCGGUUUUUGAGAGGAGGACCUAGACCGAAGCCACCGUGAGAAAUACAGAAGAUGGACAGUUGCUGUUAAAAAUUUGCCCUCCGGCCUCUUCACGAUGGCCCACCCUGCACUGUAAGUGCUUAGAAACACGGAGGAGGGACGAAGCACUCAGCAGAGUCUAUAUGUCAGCCCCUCAACCAGGGCUGCCACCGUUAUCACAGGAACAGGGUCGGGAGACGAGGCUCCGCAGCGAGGACGCGGAGACUUCACUCACCUGACUCAUGCAGUAGCUGCAGGUGGAGUGUGUUCACUAAAAGGUAGAUCAUAUACUGCGCGUGCUAGGAAACAUUUAGAUGGACCAACUCUCCGUUGCAUGGCAGCAGGCUUUUACUUCACAUCUCCUAACCUCAGCUACUCUGUCUGUGUAAUAGGGAUGAGGAACUCCACGUGCGUUGUGGUAAGAAUUAAGAAAAGGACAUGUGAAAAUAUUUUUAAUUUUAUAGUUUCUGACUUGUAAGAA
Long non-coding RNA from Chinchilla lanigera (long-tailed chinchilla), 520 nucleotides. RefSeq lists it as uncharacterized. The record is from RefSeq and is a predicted model, not a curated record. The transcript is spliced from 3 exons. Lineage: Eukaryota; Metazoa; Chordata; Mammalia; Rodentia; Chinchillidae.